CCUANGGGUGGCAGCAGCAGGGAGUAUUGCGCAAUGGGCGAAAGCCUGACGCAGCCACGCCGCGUGGAUGAUGAAGGCCUUCGGGUCGUAACGUCCUUUUAUGAGGGAAGAAAGGUCCGGUGAGGAAAUGCUCCGGAUUUGACGGUACCUCAGGAAUAAGCCACGGCUAACUCUGUGCCAGCAGCCGCGGUAAUACAGAGGUGGCUAGCGUUGUUCGGAAUUACUGGGCGUAAAGGGAGCGCAGGCGGCCAGGCAAGUCUGAAGUGCAAGCCCGGGGCUCAACCCCGGAAUCGCUUUGGAAACUGCCAGGCUUGAGUAUGUCAGAGGUGAGCGGAAUUCCAGGUGUAGCGGUGAAAUGCGUAGAUAUCUGGAGGAACAUCCGUGGCGAAGGCGGCUCACUGGGACACAACUGACGCUGAGGCUCGAAAGCGUGGGGAGCGAACGGGAUUAGAUACCCUANUANUC
This 465-nucleotide ribosomal RNA is filed under the name uncultured bacterium. RNAcentral describes it as "bacterial SSU rRNA". It matches the Rfam family "Bacterial small subunit ribosomal RNA", at positions 338 to 795 of the family's 1533-position model. The record is from RNAcentral.